CCCGCUGAACUUAAGCAUAUCAAUAAGCGGAGGAAAAGAAACUAACAAGGAUUCCCUUAGUAACUGCGAGUGAAGUGGGAAAAGCUCAAAUUUAGAAUCUGGCAGUCACUUGGCUGUCCGAGUUGUAAUCUAGAGAAGUGUUGCCCGUGUGUGGACCAUGUACAAGUCUCCUGGAAUGGAGCAUCACAGAGGGUGAGAAUCCUGUCUUUGACAUGGACUGCCAGUGCUUUUGUGGUAUGCUCUCAAAGAGUCGAGUUGUUUGGGAAUGCAGCUCAAAAUGGGUGGUAAAUGCCAUCUAAAGCUAAAUAUUGGUGAGAGACCGAUAGCGACCAAGUACCGUGAGGGAAAGAUGAAAAGAACUUUGGAAAGAGAGUUAAACAGUACGUGAAAUUGCUGAAAGGGAAACGCUUGAAGUCAGUCACGUUGACUUGUAAUCAGCUCUGCUUUUGCUGGGUGUACUUUCUUGUCAAUGGGUCAGCAUCAAUUUUGACCAUUGGAUAAAGUUGCUGGGAAUGUAGCAUCCUUUUGGAUGUGUUAUAGCCUGGUGAUGCAUACAGUGGUUGGGAUUGAGGAAUUCAGCACGUCACCAGUCCGGGUUUUGACAACGUUCGUGCUUAGGAUGCUGGCAUAAUGGCUUUAAUUGACCCGUCUUGAAACACGG
RNAcentral lists this ribosomal RNA (661 nucleotides) under uncultured fungus. RNAcentral's name for it is "eukaryotic LSU rRNA". It matches the Rfam family "Eukaryotic large subunit ribosomal RNA", at positions 24 to 664 of the family's 3401-position model. The record is from RNAcentral. Lineage: Eukaryota; Fungi.